CACACUAUCAUUAACUGAAUCCAUAGGUUAAUGAGGCGAACCGGGGGAACUGAAACAUCUAAGUACCCCGAGGAAAAGAAAUCAACCGAGAUUCCCCCAGUAGCGGCGAGCGAACGGGGAGCAGCCCAGAGCCUGAAUCAGUGUGUGUGUUAGUGGAAGCGUCUGGAAAGGCGCGCGAUACAGGGUGACAGCCCCGUACACAAAAAUGCACAUGCUGUGAGCUCGAUGAGUAGGGCGGGACACGUGGUAUCCUGUCUGAAUAUGGGGGGACCAUCCUCCAAGGCUAAAUACUCCUGACUGACCGAUAGUGAACCAGUACCGUGAGGGAAAGGCGAAAAGAACCCCGGCGAGGGGAGUGAAAAAGAACCUGAAACCGUGUACGUACAAGCAGUGGGAGCACGCUUAGGCGUGUGACUGCGUACCUUUUGUAUAAUGGGUCAGCGACUUAUAUUCUGUAGCAAGGUUAACCGAAUAGGGGAGCCGAAGGGAAACCGAGUCUUAACUGGGCGUUAAGUUGCAGGGUAUAGACCCGAAACCCGGUGAUCUAGCCAUGGGCAGGUUGAAGGUUGGGUAACACUAACUGGAGGACCGAACCGACUAAUGUUGAAAAAUUAGCGGAUGACUUGUGGCUGGGGGUGAAAGGCCAAUCAAACCGGGAGAUAGCUGGUUCUCCCCGAAAGCUAUUUAGGUAGCGCCUCGUGAAUUCAUCUCCGGGGGUAGAGCACUGUUUCGGCAAGGGGGUCAUCCCGACUUACCAACCCGAUGCAAACUGCGAAUACCGGAGAAUGUUAUCACGGGAGACACACGGCGGGUGCUAACGUCCGUCGUGAAGAGGGAAACAACCCAGACCGCCAGCUAAGGUCCCAAAGUCAUGGUUAAGUGGGAAACGAUGUGGGAAGGCCCAGACAGCCAGGAUGUUGGCUUAGAAGCAGCCAUCAUUUAAAGAAAGCGUAAUAGCUCACUGGUCGAGUCGGCCUGCGCGGAAGAUGUAACGGGGCUAAACCAUGCACCGAAGCUGCGGCAGCGACGCUGAUGCGUUGUUGGGUAGGGGAGCGUUCUGUAAGCCUGCGAAGGUGUGCUGUGAGGCAUGCUGGAGGUAUCAGAAGUGCGAAUGCUGACAUAAGUAACGAUAAAGCGGGUGAAAAGCCCGCUCGCCGGAAGACCAAGGGUUCCUGUCCAACGUUAAUCGGGGCAGGGUGAGUCGACCCCUAAGGCGAGGCCGAAAGGCGUAGUCGAUGGGAAACAGGUUAAUAUUCCUGUACUUGGUGUUACUGCGAAGGGGGGACGGAGAAGGCUAUGUUGGCCGGGCGACGGUUGUCCCGGUUUAAGCGUGUAGGCUGGUUUUCCAGGCAAAUCCGGAAAAUCAAGGCUGAGGCGUGAUGACGAGGCACUACGGUGCUGAAGCAACAAAUGCCCUGCUUCCAGGAAAAGCCUCUAAGCAUCAGGUAACAUCAAAUCGUACCCCAAACCGACACAGGUGGUCAGGUAGAGAAUACCAAGGCGCUUGAGAGAACUCGGGUGAAGGAACUAGGCAAAAUGGUGCCGUAACUUCGGGAGAAGGCACGCUGAUAUGUAGGUGAAGUCCCUCGCGGAUGGAGCUGAAAUCAGUCGAAGAUACCAGCUGGCUGCAACUGUUUAUUAAAAACACAGCACUGUGCAAACACGAAAGUGGACGUAUACGGUGUGACGCCUGCCCGGUGCCGGAAGGUUAAUUGAUGGGGU
Molecule: ribosomal RNA, 1722 nt
Filed under: Escherichia coli
Lineage: Bacteria; Pseudomonadati; Pseudomonadota; Gammaproteobacteria; Enterobacterales; Enterobacteriaceae
Description: partial 23S ribosomal RNA
Rfam family: Bacterial large subunit ribosomal RNA
Source: RNAcentral